AGGAUGAACGCUGGCGGCGUGCCUAACACAUGCAAGUCGAACGUCCUGUCUCGCAAGAGGCAGGGAGUGGCGGACGGGUGAGUACCACGUGGGUCAUCUACCGUGAGGUGAGGAAUACCGGCGAGAAAUCGCCGACAAGACCGCAUAGGCUCGAUGCAAGUCGAGCAAAGCUCUUUCGAGAGAGGGAGCGCCACACGAGGAGCCUGCGCCCGAUUAGCUAGCUGGUGGAGUAACGGUUCACCAGGGCGACGAUCGGUAGCUGGUCUGAGAGGACGAUCAGCCACACUGGGAUUGAGAACGGCCCAGACUCCUACGGGGGGCAGCAGUGAGGAAUUUUCGUCAAUGGGGCAACCCUGAACGAGCAACGCCGCGUGCAGGAAGAAGGUUUUCGGAUCGUAAACUGCUUUUCUCGGGAAGAGAAUGGACGGUACCCGAGGAAUCAGCCCGGCUAACUACGUGCCAGCAGCCGC
RNAcentral lists this ribosomal RNA (470 nucleotides) under uncultured bacterium. RNAcentral describes it as "SSU rRNA". It matches the Rfam family "Bacterial small subunit ribosomal RNA", at positions 26 to 518 of the family's 1533-position model. The record is from RNAcentral.